Molecule: ribosomal RNA, 772 nt
Filed under: Probrachista sp. D0886
Lineage: Eukaryota; Metazoa; Arthropoda; Insecta; Hymenoptera; Trichogrammatidae
Description: SSU rRNA
Rfam family: Eukaryotic small subunit ribosomal RNA
Source: RNAcentral
UAACGAUACGGGACUCAUCCGAGGCCCCGUAAUCGGAAUGAGUACACUUUAAAUCCUUUAACGAGGACCCAUUGGAGGGCAAGUCUGGUGCCAGCAGCCGCGGUAAUUCCAGCUCCAAUAGCGUAUAUUAAAGUUGUUGCGGUUAAAAAGCUCGUAGUUGAAUCUGUGUGCCACGCUGUUGGUUCAUCGCUCGCGAUGUUUAACUGACAUGAUUGUGGGACGUCCUACCGGUGGGCUUAGCCUCGGUCAAACGAGGCGGUCCAGUUUUAUCCUGUUUCGGUGCUCUUUAUCGAGUGUCGAGGUGGGCCGGUACGUUUACUUUGAACAAAUUAGAGUGCUCAAAGCAGGCUAUGUUCGCCUGAAUAUAAUUGCAUGGAAUAAUGGAAUAGGACCUCGGUUCUAUUUUGUUGGUUUUCGGAACCCCGAGGUAAUGAUUAAUAGGGACAGAUGGGGGCAUUCGUAUUGCGACGUUAGAGGUGAAAUUCUUGGAUCGUCGCAAGACGGACAGAAGCGAAAGCAUUUGCCAAAAAUGUUUUCAUUAAUCAAGAACGAAAGUUAGAGGUUCGAAGGCGAUCAGAUACCGCCCUAGUUCUAACCAUAAACGAUGCCAGCUAGCGAUCCGCCGAAGUUCCUCCGAUGACUCGGCGGGCAGCUUCCGGGAAACCAAAGCUUUUGGGUUCCGGGGGAAGUAUGGUUGCAAAGCUGAAACUUAAAGGAAUUGACGGAAGGGCACCACCAGGAGUGGAGCCUGCGGCUUAAUUUGACUCAACAC